This is a non-coding RNA of Rattus norvegicus (Norway rat), 2539 nucleotides long. Lineage: Eukaryota; Metazoa; Chordata; Mammalia; Rodentia; Muridae. The record is from RefSeq and is a predicted model, not a curated record.
AUGAGACUCACAAUGUUAAAUGCUACCUUUUAAAUUUUCAUUUGGAAGCCGAAAAAUAAAAAUGAAAUGAAUCUUGCUGGGUGUGGUGAUUCGUACCUUUAAUCCCAGCACUCGGAGGCAAAAACAGGCAGAUGUUUGCGAGUUCCCGGCCAACAAGCAAAUAUACAACAAGGCUCUGUUUCAAAACAUAAAUAAAUGGAUAAUGGAUAGGUAAACAAUAACAUCUGCUGGUCUAGAGUAUCAAUAUUUGUGUCAGUAACAUUGACAAUAAGUAUAUAGGGGUAACGAGAUGGUUCCGCAGGCAGGGACACUUGUAGCCAAGCCUGAUGACCUGAGUUCAAUCCCUGGGACCCACAUGAUAGACUCUUGCAAGGUCCUUUGUCCCCGCAUGUGUAUUGUGUGUGUGCAUGCCCAAUAAAGGAAUGAAUAUUUAAACAUGCAGGUAUCUAUACAGGGUUUAUUUCUCUCCCUUUCCACCUAAAUUACCUGUUAUCUCGAAGUUCUUUACAUCAGUAUGAUCAAUAUUGCAUCUCUGUACACUUGGUAGGUAGCCACUGGUCUGAGAGUGACCCUAAACACUUGACUGUGACUACUCCAGGCUGAGAUGUGUUGUGGUCACUUGUAAAUACUGACCAAUUCUGGAUGCUCGAAGCAUAUAUAAUUUGUACCACUACAAAAAGAAUCCAAGACUUUUAAAAACCAAUUAAUUGUGUGGUGUGUGGUCUAUGACAUGUAUGUGGGGGGACAUCAGGUUAUCUUCUACCUAAUUUCUUUUAAAAAUUAUUAUUUCAACUGUCUUUCAAUACUUUGUGGGUUCUUCUUUCUUUCGCUCUUCCCCCGCACCUUUUCUCCCACCCUUUCAACCCCCUAACAAUAGAUAGGAAAGGAAAAGAAAGAAAUCCCUGAAUAAAGUCAGGGGUCAGAAAGGGAGUGACGUUACCAUUAGACUGCUUCCACCUGAUUCGGGGCAUCAAUUUCCUUGGGGCAAGUUUUAUCUUUGCUGUCAGGAUAUCUAGUUUCUUCUUCUGUUGUUUCUUCUUUGCACACAACUACUUAACAGAUUUCUACCAGCAACACCCAACAAUUACCACGAAUAACCAACAACCUCCUCCCCCCCACCCCCCGCAACCUAUCAGGGUCCUAGCAUUUAUAUUCCCUCCAAAAAGUCCCCAGAAUUAAAAAAACAAAACAAAACCCACAAUCACAGAAACUAUCUACAGCUUGCAAAGUCACACCCCUGCUAGAGCACAAGGCAAAUCUUAGUCACCUGCUGUGGGCAGUCUAAAGCAGCCCCAUGUCCCACAAACGAAAACACACACACACACAAAAAAAUUCUUAUAAUAUUUCUGUUUUUAAAAAAAAGAAACAAAAUUCAGCGCAGGGAAUGAAACUUGGAUUCUCUGAAAGAGCAGCCAGUGUUUCUUAACUGUUGACCCAUCUCUCUGGCCCUCUGCCUUGUUUCUUCAGGACAGAUUCUUUCACAGAACUUGGAGCUCACCAGAUCAGUUAGCUUGGAGGAUCCUCCUGUCUCUGCCUCCCCAGCGCGGAGCUUGAAGACGUGCCCCGCCCAUGCUCUGCAUUCUCAUGGGUGUUGGAGAUCCUGACUAGGGUCCUAGAGUUCUGAAGCCAGCGCUUCACCCACAAAUCAUCACCCUGGCCACAAGACUUAACUUUUAAAGACUCACAAUAAGUCAUCUUUUUCAGUAAAGAAAGAAGAGAAAAAAAAAAUCAAAGAAGCACAUGAUCGGGAAGCACGUGAUCGAGAAGCACGUGAUCAGAGCCCUGCAUCCUUCUUCGGAGCAGCUUGUCCGCUAAACUGCUCCCUCCCCUGCCUCCUUCAGCAGAGAAAACCAGAUGCCUUGUGAGUCCAUUAAACAAGAAUCCACGCUGCACAAAGGAGCAGGGAGAGACUAGGAGUGAGCUCAUGAAAGUUAAUUCAAAUAACUGGACGUUAAAGUGAGACUUUAAUAAAAACGUGACAAUGUGAAAUGAGAGAUGCCCAGGGAAGAACAGAAUGAGCCAUGAGGGAAGACCGAGCUGGUAAUAGACUCAUGGGUUUGAACAAAUGACUUGGGAAACUUCAAAUACAGAACCAGAAGUUUCUACGGAAGGAAGAAGCUAUCCCAGGGCUCGGCAAUCGUGCCCUAGCCUAGGACUGAAGAGUCACCUGCCUCUCUGAUGGAAAGAAUUGGGAGUGGGAGGCAGCUCAGGGUUGUGCCAUGACUCCUCUGGGCCCCAGCUCUGUAAGACAAAUGAGUUAACCGAUUAACCAACACAUUUAUCCUCUUGAUCUGACCUUAGCACACAUCAACACAGGGCUCCGGAAGGAAUCUGGACAAACAUUUAAAAGCAGUGUCUCGGGCUGGAGAGAUGGCUCAGUGGUUUAAGAGCACUGACUGCACUUCCAGAGGUCCUGAGUUCAAAUCCCGGCAACCACAUGGUGGCUCACGACCAUCUGUAAUGGGAUCUGAUGCCCUGAAGACAGCAACAGUGGACUCAUAUACAUAAAAUAAAUAAAUCUUAAAAGCAGUGUCUCUUA